Long non-coding RNA from Syngnathus typhle (broad-nosed pipefish), 2151 nucleotides. RefSeq lists it as uncharacterized. Lineage: Eukaryota; Metazoa; Chordata; Actinopteri; Syngnathiformes; Syngnathidae. The transcript is spliced from 4 exons. The record is from RefSeq and is a predicted model, not a curated record.
CGUUGGGGGCCUCCACCUUCUUGUAGCAGCUGGUGCCGUACUCGAGCCAUCCAAAACCACAGAUGUUAGCUGAGGGCACAAUUUGGGGAUCAGGCGGACAGAUCAGAGCACACUGAUUGGCUGGGAAUAAUAGUUAUCUACUCAAUCAGCUUCAAGGAAUGUUUCGCGGAACAUUUUGCGCAAUGGAACGGCGGCUCAAAAACGAAACUAAAGUGAUCAUUGUCGCCGUGCGUUUGUUCUCAUUCCAAGCUGUACCUAUAGCCAGAUAAAACAAAACGGGAGCCGGCUAGGAGGACUUUGAGCGAGGAACUUGGCACCAGCGGAGCCGCCAAAGCAUCUGUCAUUCCUGCAAGAGAAAACGCAAAGACGGACGUCAACGCGCGAUGACGGUCAGUGGAGCGUCACAUCCUACUUACCUUUUGCUCUUUUCUUGCACAUGUAGCCACUCUUGUGGUCGCACGCGUCGGCUUUCCAGUCGCCGCUGCCGGCGAGGAAGGUAAGACAUUUCUCCUCGUUGCCGUCAUCUGGAGGGAGACGAGAUCUAAGCGUUCCUGCCAACUGCAGCCGACAUACAUGCUUUCAGACUGACCUUCAAAGUCUUUGAUUUUCUUGAACAGUGAGCCGUCAGUCCACUUGGCGUCGUCGUCGUCGAAUGGGCUUUUGACGCCCAACCACAGAGAGGCAUCAUCGUCAUCCUCCAGCGCCACAGCCUUGAUGUAACCUUUGGAUCAAAGUAGAACGUCUUUCCGGACCACACUUGCAAUACAACGCGAUGGGUGUGGCGCAUUUCACGACAGCUGCAGCCGUUGUGAAAUGCGCUACGCAUUGGAUAACAAUACUGCAACAAAGACGGUGAAAAUGAUUCCACACAAAAAAAGCAGCCGAGCAACUCUUGCCAUCCACACGACGUGGGCCUGCCUUCUUUUUGCGCCAAUGGUGGGCACGCAGCUUUUGAUGACGGCGUCUGUAGUGUUGCCGUUUUACCCAUACAACUUACAAGAGUAGCAGUAAGAAUCUUUUCAUCUCAGGUUCACUCUAACCUCCUCAUCAUCCAUUUUCUUCUCAUUAUAUUCCUACGAAUUGGAAAACAACGAACGGCCAGCCUACCGUGUACAAAGAUCAGCUCGUGUGAGUCGGUGAUGCUGAGCAGGUUCCCUUCCAGGUGAUGGCAGUGGUCUUGUGCCUCCUGCCAGGUCUUGGUGGGCUGGCGGAUCAUCAGGUAGCAGAAGUCGUUGGAGGGGCCGUCCGUCCACCAGCCGCAUUGGACAGUCCAGCCUGCGAGGGAGACGGACGGACGGCGCAUGAGCGCACAGCGGCGUGUCGACGGCCAGUGCCGGACACCCGGCCACCUACCCGGUUGGCCAACCAAUGGGCAACACGGACGUGCAGUGCAGGCUUACCCUGCGGCCGCUCGCAAACGUACGCCAGCGAGGAAGCGCAGGAACCAGACAUCCACUUCCCAGACUGAUAAUAAGUGCCUUGUUUGACGUAGGCACAGGACGCAACGUCGGUGCUGUCGGGAGAAGUCGUGUUGAGCUGAGGCCCAGUUGGCGUAUGUCGUCGUCUCGCCGCCGGACCAAGUCAGGUUUCCGUCUUCAAAGCGACACCAGAUGUCAUCGCAUUUCUGAGAAGGAAAAAGCCCACAAUCAAGCUCGUCGACGGAGUAGCGCUGCAGAGCCCACGGCCGAUUGUGCUCGCGUCUCACCAGAUUGGAGAGUCCCAGCCAGAAGUGGGCCAUCAUCGUCUUCUUCACAAAGUCUUCCUCGGCCGAGGAAGAGAUGGAGAGCAGGUCCCCGCCCUCCGAGACGCAGUGAUGACGGGCCCCCAGCCAACCGUUGGGGGCCUCCACCUUCUUGUAGCAGCUGGCAUCGUACUCGAGCCAUCCGAAACCACAGCGCUUGGCUGAGGACACAAUUUGGGGAUCGAGCCGGCGGACAGAUCAGAGCACACUGACGACUGGGAAUAGUUUUCCAGUGAGAGAUGAGAUCUGCUCAAUUGCUAUGUUCAUUACCGUUACUGUUACCAACAGUGCCAAAGUCACUUUUGCUGCUUGGGCCGUGACGACGCGCAACGCAAAAAAAAAAAAGAUUCUGCGGAGAGGUCCCUAACUUUCGUUAGGCCCAUGUGAAAUAUACAUUGUGAGACACAGUA